AAAACUCUCUCUGUUUCUUUUCUCAGGCUCCGAUUUCGGAGAUGGCCCGGCCAAGGCUUCCGGCGAGUCUCCGCCGUAGAGCCACCGUGUGUGGCGGCCGGAGGUCCAAAAUCGGACCUUUUCGGUCCUUUUUUGAAGUCCAUGGCCUCCAGGCCAUAGAUCUAGGGGCUGAAUCUCCUGAAUCGGAAGCCGAAGACUCGAAAAAUGGGGUGAAAUCCUUCGCCUUCCUUCCCCUUCCGGCGCAGCACAGGUAAGGUUUUGUUUUAACUCCUUUUUACUACCUUUAUUUUUAUACAUAUGAAGAGAAAAGAGAGCAAAAUAAAUAAAAAACAUCAAAACUGAAAAGAAAGAGACCUUGAAUCUGCCUUUUUUUUAUUUCCUUUGGUUGAAUCUAUUCUUGUUUUUGUUACAAAAGUUCCCCGGGCUCCUCAAAAAAGAGUUAUAUUCAUGGCUUUUAUAGCCGAUAUUAAUUCCUAUUUUUUGUUUUCUUUUUCCUUUCUUUUCUUUGACUGUUGCGUGUUUGUUUCUCUUUGCAGGUGCAAGUGGCAUGGGAGCGGCAGAGCAGGUGGAGCAGGUGAGCAGCGUGCGGCGGCCAGCAAGUGAACGGCGGAGUUGGUGGGUCUGCUG
RNAcentral lists this long non-coding RNA (627 nucleotides) under Gossypium barbadense (sea-island cotton). Its description in RNAcentral is "long non-coding RNA (GBAR_LNC017649)". The record is from RNAcentral. Lineage: Eukaryota; Viridiplantae; Streptophyta; Magnoliopsida; Malvales; Malvaceae.